GUUGAGUAAUGUCUGGGAAACUGCCUGAUGGAGGGGGAUAACUACUGGAAACGGUAGCUAAUACCGCAUAACGUCGCAAGACCAAAGAGGGGGACCUUCGGGCCUCUUGCCAUCAGAUGUGCCCAGAUGGGAUUAGCUUGUUGGUUGGGGUAACGGCUCACCAAGGCGACGAUCCCUAGCUGGUCUGAGAGGAUGACCAGCCACACUGGAACUGAGACACUGUCCAG
RNAcentral lists this ribosomal RNA (227 nucleotides) under uncultured Enterobacterales bacterium. RNAcentral describes it as "partial 16S ribosomal RNA". It matches the Rfam family "Bacterial small subunit ribosomal RNA", at positions 105 to 334 of the family's 1533-position model. Lineage: Bacteria; Pseudomonadati; Pseudomonadota; Gammaproteobacteria; Enterobacterales. The record is from RNAcentral.